RNAcentral lists this ribosomal RNA (501 nucleotides) under uncultured bacterium. RNAcentral describes it as "partial 16S ribosomal RNA". It matches the Rfam family "Bacterial small subunit ribosomal RNA", at positions 30 to 523 of the family's 1533-position model. The record is from RNAcentral.
AUUGAACGCUAGCGGCAGGCUUAACACAUGCAAGUCGAGCGGAUGAAGGUAGCUUGCUACCGGAUUCAGCGGCGGACGGGUGAGUAAUGCUUAGGAAUCUGCCUAUUAGUGGGGGACAACGUUCCGAAAGGAGCGCUAAUACCGCAUACGUCCUACGGGAGAAAGCAGGGGACCUUUGGGCCUUGCGCUAAUAGAUGAGCCUAAGUCGGAUUAGCUAGUUGGUAGGGUAAAGGCCUACCAAGGCGACGAUCUGUAGCGGGUCUGAGAGGAUGAUCCGCCACACUGGGACUGAGACACGGCCCAGACUCUUACGGGAGGCAGCAGUGGGGAAUAUUGGACAAUGGGGGGAACCCUGAUCCAGCCAUGCCGCGUGUGUGAAGAAGGCCUUUUGGUUGUAAAGCACUUUAAGCGAGGAGGAGGCUACCUAGAUUAAUACUUUAGGAUAGUGGACGUUACUCGCAGAAUAAGCACCGGCUAACUCUGUGCCAGCAGCCGCCGUAA